UACGGAGGGUGCGAGCGUUGUCCGGAAUCACUGGGCGUAAAGGGCGCGUAGGUGGCCUGUGGAAGUCUGCGGUGAAAGCCCGGCGCUCAACGCCGGGUCGGCCGUGGAUACUCUCGGGCUUGAGCUUACUAGAGGCAGAUGGAAUUCCGGGUGUAGCGGUGGAAUGCGUAGAGAUCCGGAAGAACACCGGUGGCGAAGGCGGCUCUCUGGGACGGUACUGACGCUGAGACGCGAAAGCGUGGGGAGCGAACAGG
Molecule: ribosomal RNA, 254 nt
Filed under: uncultured bacterium
Lineage: Bacteria
Description: partial 16S ribosomal RNA
Rfam family: Bacterial small subunit ribosomal RNA
Source: RNAcentral